CCUACGUGUGGCAGCAGUGAGGAAUAUUGGUCAAUGGGCGCGAGCCUGAACCAGCCAAGUAGCGUGAAGGAUGACUGCCCUACGGGUUGUAAACUUCUUUUAUAAAGGAAUAAAGUGAGGCACGUGUGCCUUUUUGUAUGUACUUUAUGAAUAAGGAUCGGCUAACUCCGUGCCAGCAGCCUCGGUAAUACGGAGGAUCCGAGCGUUAUCCGGAUUUAUUGGGUUUAAAGGGAGCGUAGAUGGGUGGUUAAGUCAGUUGUGAAAGUUUGCGGAUCAACCGUAAAAUUGCAAGUGAUACUGGCAGUCUUGAGGACAGUUGAGGUAGGCAGAAUUCGUGGUGUAGCGGUGAAAUGCUUAGAGAUCACGAAGAACUGCGAUUGCGAAGGCAGCUUACUAAACUGCAACUGACAGUGAUGCUCGAAAGUGUGGGUAUCAAACAGGAUUAGAUACCCGAGUAGUC
This 460-nucleotide ribosomal RNA is filed under the name uncultured bacterium. Its description in RNAcentral is "partial 16S ribosomal RNA". It matches the Rfam family "Bacterial small subunit ribosomal RNA", at positions 338 to 795 of the family's 1533-position model. The record is from RNAcentral.